UUUAAUUGGUCUGUUUAAAUCAUAUUAAUCAGAUUGGACCCAAGUAAAGGAAACAGUGCUGUUAAUUUAGGUCAAAGCCUAAUGAUUUUUUGUCUUUACAGCACCAAGCAGUCUCAGACCAGCAGGCAGUCACAAUAAUGUUUGAUGCAUGAUGGAGAGUACUACAGGAUUUACAACUGUUACCAGAGCUGAACUCAGUACUCCAGGUGGGGUCUCACAAGAGCAGAGUAGAGGGGAGAAUGAAGGUGAAGUCUGGAACAAAGAGCUCUCAAUAGAGAAAAAGAGAAGGCUUUCUAACCUGGUCAUGGAAAAUUAUGAAUUCACAGCAUGUAGCCAACUUCAAUAAAGAAGCCCACAGAUAUUGAGACUCCAGUGGAAUAUAAAGCCUCUUAUCUGCAGACUUGUGAGCACUGAGUGCUGGAGCCUGGCUGAAGACUCUUCAGUCACCUGAGACUCCUGGGUCGAGGCUGGAAGCCUCUGUAGAAGAGGAGAAUAUGGAGGUGGAUCAGUUCGAUAUUUUCAUUUAAACGGGUCUAUUAUUCCUAGAGAAAUAAUGUACUGUGUAUAUGUCAGCUUUACUCUAGGCUUAACAGAGAAAAUACAAACAUGAUUUGAAUGAAGGAGAAGAAUAAGUGGUUACAAUUAUAUAUAUAUUUUUUUUUAAUUUAAAAAAAAAGGUAGAAAAAUUGAUGAGAUGCAGUCCCCAGGGGGGUCUGAUUUCCUUAUCUAUUUCUGAGAAUUAACUUGGGUGCAGUCUUGGUUGAAUACUUGGAAGAAAGACUGAAUUAUCAGUACCUUGGACAUUGGAGGUUACUAAUGAGGCAAGAAUGCACCCUCUGGGAACUUGUCUCUUACAUUUUAUCCAGAAGGUGAAAGCAAGAAAAUGUGUGGGAAGGACUCAUUACCUUCCUUUUAACUUACAAGUCCCCAUACUUAAAUUUUAAUCCUUUUUUGUUUGUUUGUUUUUGGUGUGUGUGAAAUUGCUAAUAGGCCCUUUCCAAACCUGUCAGAUCACUCUGCUUUGCUACUGAAGGUUCUUUGGGAUGUUGCUUUUCUACUUAGUUUCUUACCAAGGCUGGAUUUCAACUAUAACUGCCUUCAUAGAUGUCAAAAGCUACACUACCUAAAUCUGGCUUUGCAACCUGUAACAAAUCCCAUACCAGAAAUGGGGUCUAUUAUGCUACACUUCCAAUAAUCUUUCAAUUUGUUGUAUAUUCAUAGAGUCUAUAUGUAACUCAAUAGAGAUUUCAGGGAACAGGACACUGGCUAAACUCUCAUUGUGCAAAUGUAUCUGAUACUUCCACGCAGAGAAAAUUUUCAAAUUAACUGAUAACAGAACAGAUACUCGAAAGCUUUAGAUGUCAGCCUGUGCUGUGUACAUAUUGCACGUAGAGCGUUAGAAACCAAAGAUUUUAAAUUCUAAGAACAAAAAGCUAACAAGAAUUAUGAGAGAGGUUAAGAAAAUGAAUGAUGACUCUCAUCUUCUGAAAAGCUGAUAGGCAACUUAACUGCUGGGGUGCUUUAAGCUAAUGUGUGUAAAUUAUGUUUGAAUCAAAAUAGUUCAGCUUCUGCCAGCUCAGAGAGUGGACAAAGCUGCUUCAGCCAUCUGGAUCUAAGCCUUGGAACUAGAGCAAGCUGUUAAUCACUUUGCCUUUCUGUUUCCUUAUUUGUAGAAGGAUAGCAAUACUUGCAUUAAAAAAAAAAAUAAUAAAAAAAUGAAUAUUUACUAUGAAAGAGCA
Molecule: long non-coding RNA, 1739 nt
Filed under: Anas platyrhynchos platyrhynchos (common mallard)
Lineage: Eukaryota; Metazoa; Chordata; Aves; Anseriformes; Anatidae
Description: lncRNA (ENSAPLG00000027681.1)
Source: RNAcentral